UGUGGUGUGGCUCAGCGGCAGAGUGCUCACCUAGCACAUUCAAAGCCCUGAGUUCAAUCCUCAGCACCACAA
Non-coding RNA from Ictidomys tridecemlineatus (thirteen-lined ground squirrel), 72 nucleotides. The record is from Rfam. NCBI's taxonomy places the organism in Eukaryota, Metazoa, Chordata, Mammalia, Rodentia, Sciuridae.